RNAcentral lists this ribosomal RNA (510 nucleotides) under uncultured bacterium. RNAcentral's name for it is "bacterial SSU rRNA". It matches the Rfam family "Bacterial small subunit ribosomal RNA", at positions 8 to 507 of the family's 1533-position model. The record is from RNAcentral.
AGAGUUUGAUCCUGGCUCAGAGUGAACGCUGGCGGCAGGCCUAAUUCAUGCAAGUCGAACGGCAGCACAGCAGAGCUUGCUCUGUGGGUGGCGAGUGGCGGACGGGUGAGGAAUACGUGGGAAUCUGCCCAGUCGUGGGGGAUAACGUAGGGAAACUUACGCUAAUACCGCAUGCGCCCUUCGGGGGAAAGCCGGGGACCUUCGGGCCUGGCGCGAUUGGAUGAGCCCACGUCGGAUUAGCUAGUUGGCGGGGUAAAGGCCCACCAAGGCGACGAUCCGUAGCUGGUCUGAGAGGAUGAUCAGCCACACUGGAACUGAGACACGGUCCAGACUCCUACGGGAGGCAGCAGUAGGGAAUAUUGGACAAUGGGCGCAAGCCUGAUCCAGCCAUGCCGCGUGAGUGAAGAAGGCCCUCGGGUUGUAAAGCUCUUUUGUCCGGAAAGAAAAGCGCCGGGUUAAUACCCUGGUGUCCUGACGGUACCGGAAGAAUAAGCACCGGCUAACUUCGUG